This 442-nucleotide ribosomal RNA is filed under the name uncultured bacterium. RNAcentral describes it as "partial 16S ribosomal RNA". It matches the Rfam family "Bacterial small subunit ribosomal RNA", at positions 338 to 795 of the family's 1533-position model. The record is from RNAcentral.
CCUACGGGUGGCAGCAGUGGGGAAUAUUGCACAAUGGGCGAAAGCCUGAUGCAGCAACGCCGCGUGAAGGAAGAAGGCCUUCGGGUCGUAAACUUCUGUCCUUGGGGAAGAAGAACUGACGGUACCCAAGGAGGAAGCCCCGGCUAACUACGUGCCAGCAGCCGCGGUAAUACGUAGGGGGCAAGCGUUAUCCGGAUUUACUGGGUGUAAAGGGAGCGUAGACGGCAAGGCAAGCCAGAAGUGAAAGGGCAGGGCUCAACCCUGUACAUGCUUUUGGAACUGUGGUGCUAGAGUGCAGGAGAGGUAAGUGGAAUUCCUAGUGUAGCGGUGAAAUGCGUAGAUAUUAGGAGGAACACCAGUGGCGAAGGCGGCUUACUGGACUGUAACUGACGUUGAGGCUCGAAAGCGUGGGGAGCAAACAGGAUUAGAUACCCGGGUAGUC